UGCAGAUGAUGCUACUGAAUAUUUGCUAACGGAGGUUUUGAUGACGACACCAUAACCACCAAGAUCUCUGAUGCC
This is a small nucleolar RNA of Petromyzon marinus (sea lamprey), 75 nucleotides long. Its record names the gene SNORD24. It matches the Rfam family "Small nucleolar RNA SNORD24". Rfam says of the family: U24 is a member of the C/D class of snoRNA which contain the C (UGAUGA) and D (CUGA) box motifs. C/D box snoRNAs have been shown to act as methylation guides for a number of RNA targets. The record is from Ensembl. Lineage: Eukaryota; Metazoa; Chordata; Hyperoartia; Petromyzontiformes; Petromyzontidae.